AGGAGGUACAUUUCCCCACUUUUCUCAAAAACUAUUGGUCCUAAAGACAUCAAUCAAAGUGUGGACUGUAUAAUGGGUAUUCCCCCAGAGAAUGAUCACACAAACAUGCUUGUUUGUCUUUCAAUAACGGAGGAGUGGUCGCUGGCGUGCGGCGAAUAGCGAAAAGUGUACGGAACAUGGCUGAGCUGGAUGCUGAAUACAAAAGAGUGAGCCUCAACACUUAAGGUUUGUGCUGAGUUUCACCAUAUCAGAGAAAGUGGCACACACCAGCAAGAUUUCACAGAAGUUGCAUGACAUUUGAAAUGUUUGAUCUUCAGGUGAGUGCAAAUUCACAAAC
This is a long non-coding RNA of Sinocyclocheilus anshuiensis, 337 nucleotides long. RefSeq lists it as uncharacterized. The record is from RefSeq and is a predicted model, not a curated record. The transcript has 3 exons. Lineage: Eukaryota; Metazoa; Chordata; Actinopteri; Cypriniformes; Cyprinidae.